GGUGCGGUAGCUCAGUCGGUAGAGCAAAGGACUGAAAAUCCUUGUGUCGGCAGUUCAAUUCUGCCCGGAGCCACCA
This 76-nucleotide transfer RNA is filed under the name Acholeplasmataceae bacterium. RNAcentral's name for it is "tRNA-Phe". It matches the Rfam family "tRNA". Rfam says of the family: Transfer RNA (tRNA) molecules are approximately 80 nucleotides in length. Their secondary structure includes four short double-helical elements and three loops (D, anti-codon, and T loops). The record is from RNAcentral. Lineage: Bacteria; Bacillati; Mycoplasmatota; Mollicutes; Acholeplasmatales; Acholeplasmataceae.